GAUGAAGAACGUAGUGAAAUGCGAUACUUGGUGUGAAUUGCAGAAUCCCGUGAACCAUCGAGUCUUUGAACGCAAGUUGCGCCCGAAGCCAUUAGGCCGAGGGCACGCCUGCCUGGGCGUCACACGUCGUUGCCCCCCCAUCUACUCCUUCGGGAUUGCGGUGGGCGGAUGAUGGCCUCCCGUGCGCCUCGCCGCGCGGUUGGCAUAAAUGCCAAGUCCUCGGCGACGCACGCCACGACAAUCGGUGGUUGCGAAACCUCGGUUGCCCGUCGUGUGCGGUCGUCGCGCAUCGAGGGCUCGAAAAAAUUGCCGGGUUCCGGCUCGGCUUUCAACGCGACCCCAGGUCAGGCGGGGUUACCCGCUGAAUUUAAGCAUAUCAAUAAGCGGAGGA
Molecule: unclassified non-coding RNA, 391 nt
Filed under: soil metagenome
Description: partial contains 5.8S ribosomal RNA, internal transcribed spacer 2, and large subunit ribosomal RNA
Rfam family: 5.8S ribosomal RNA (bases 1-122)
Source: RNAcentral